UACAGAGGUCCCAAGCGUUGUUCGGAUUUACUGGGCGUAAAGGGUGCGUAGGUGGUAAUUCAAGUCUGGCGUGAAAUCUCCGAGCUUAACUCGGAAAUGGCGUCAGAAACUGUUUUGCUAGAGGAUUGGAGGGGAGAUUGGAAUGCUUGGUGUAGCAGUGAAAUGCGUAGAUAUCAAGUGGAACACCAGUGGCGAAGGCGAAUCUCUAGACAAUUCCUGACACUGAGGCACGAAAGCUAGGGGAGCAAACGGG
Molecule: ribosomal RNA, 253 nt
Filed under: uncultured bacterium
Lineage: Bacteria
Description: partial 16S ribosomal RNA
Rfam family: Bacterial small subunit ribosomal RNA
Source: RNAcentral